Molecule: long non-coding RNA, 509 nt
Organism: Bos taurus (domestic cattle)
Lineage: Eukaryota; Metazoa; Chordata; Mammalia; Artiodactyla; Bovidae
Source: Ensembl
CUCCCCGAUUUCCCAGUAGCUUUGUGAUGACCUCAUGCACCUUCCAGUGUAGACGAGACCCAUGAUUUUUAAGAAAAUGUUUGUGUGUGUGUGCAUUCAAUCGUGCGAUCCUACGGACUAUAGCCGGCAAGUCUCCUCUGUCCAUGGAAUUUUCCAGGAAAAUCUCUCCCAGAAGCCUCCAGGAGACAUGCACUUACUUCUCAUUGGCCGGAGUCAGGGCAUCAGUCCACCUGGAAACCAAUCACUGGCAAAGGGGAAUGAUUUACAUCAAUAACAGUUGUCCUCCUGGGACUGGGGACGGAGCAUCUCUCCCUUGAGCUCACUGCCAUCUGCUCUGUGCUGGAACAAAGUGGGAGUUCGCUCAGUCAGGAGGAAGGGAGGACAGCAGUCUCUCUGUUGCAGGUCCUAGCAUCAGCUUUUACAUGUGAUCUUCAAAUAAAAUUGUACCCAAGUCACAGAGCGAUACCACCAGACCUGAAGGCAGAAGAGACCAUAGAAAAUCAUUAAAC